Molecule: ribosomal RNA, 493 nt
Filed under: uncultured bacterium
Lineage: Bacteria
Description: partial 16S ribosomal RNA
Rfam family: Bacterial small subunit ribosomal RNA
Source: RNAcentral
GACGAACGCUGGCGGCGUGCUUAACACAUGCAAGUCGAACGGUGAAGCGCCUUCCUUUUUGGUGGGUGUGGAUGAGUGGCGAACGGGUGAGUAACACGUGAGUAACCUGCCCCCUUCUUCUGGAUAACCGCAUGAAAGUGUGGCUAAUACGGGAUAUUCUGGGUCUGUCGCAUGAUGGGUCUGGGAAAGAUAUUGUUUCGGUGGGGGAUGGGCUCGCGGCCUAUCAGCUUGUUGGUGGGGUGUUGGCCUACCAAGGCGGUGACGGGUAGCGGGCCUGAGAGGGGGGACGGCCCAACGGGGAGUGGGCCAAGGCCAGAACUCCAACGGGAGGCAGCGGGGGGGAUAAUUGACAAAGGGGGACAGGCCGGAGGCGGCGCGGCGGGGUGGGGGAGGGGGCCUUCGGGUUGUGAACCUCUUUCGCCAGUGAAGCAGGCCUGCCUCGUUUGUGGGUGGGUUGACGGUAGCUGGAUAAGAAGCGCCGGCUAACUACGUG